RNAcentral lists this long non-coding RNA (4672 nucleotides) under Capsella grandiflora. RNAcentral's name for it is "long non-coding RNA (CGRA_LNC001686)". Lineage: Eukaryota; Viridiplantae; Streptophyta; Magnoliopsida; Brassicales; Brassicaceae. The record is from RNAcentral.
ACUUGAAAAUGGUGAUUAAAGAAACAUGGAGGCUACAUCCUCCAGCACCUCUUCUGCUCCCAAGAGAAGUAAUGUCUGAAUUUGAGAUCAACGGCUACAAGAUUGAAGCCAAGACACAGAUUCAUGUCAACGUAUGGGCUAUCGGGCGUGAUCCCAAUACCUGGAAAGACCCGGAGGAGUUUCUUCCCGAGAGGUUUCUUGAUAGUAACAUUGAUACAAAAGGACAGAGCUUUGAGUUGUUACCGUUUGGUGGCGGCAGGAGAAUGUGUCCUGCGAUGUACUUGGGGACAGUAAUGGUGGAGUUUGGUAUGGCGAAUAUGUUGUAUCAUUUUGACUGGAAGUUACCAGAAGGCAUGGUUGUCGAAGAUAUCGACGUGGAAGAAGCUCCUGGACUCACUGUGAACAAGAAAAAUGAUCUUCUGCUUGUGCCAGCGAAGUAUUUGGAUAACUGAUCUCUUGAAUGCUUGAUCUAAGUUCAUUAUGCUCGAUUAUACAUAAACAGAACACGCAGUCUGAAGUUCCUCUGUUUCUUUUAGAAGUGUUUAUGGAAGUGUCUAAGAGAAACUUUUCAUUUGUAACGUAACUUGUACGUCAACUGCAAAAUGAGCUUUACGAUCAUCUUCAAAUAUGAAACUAAGAAUUGCGCAUUGGGUUGAAUUGAUUAUGCUUAUCGUGAAAAGAACUAACUCCACAAGUUGUAUUGCGCGGUCGAGGUCCUUCAUUAAAGNNNNNNNNNNNNNNNNNNNNNNNNNNNNNNNNNNNNNNNNNNNNNNNNNNNNNNNNNNNNNNNNNNNNNNNNNNNNNNNNNNNNNNNNNNNNNNNNNNNNNNNNNNNNNNNNNNNNNNNNNNNNNNNNNNNNNNNNNNNNNNNNNNNNNNNNNNNNNNNNNNNNNNNNNNNNNNNNNNNNNNNNNNAAAAAUAAUAAUAAUUUUUGUAAACAAUUGAAAACGAUAUAAAGAUGCAUCAUCCGACAAUACAUAAACCAAGAGCACAAACAAGAAGACAUUUUUUAAAGAUUCUGAGAAAUUAAUAUAUCCUACACAAUUACAUGUUUUCACAUGGAUAGUUAUAAGUUUGCUGAUUUGCUGUAUUAGAUUAAAAAAAAAAGUAGUAAUAAAGUGCUACAUAUAACACAAUCAAUAAAUCAAAGUUUCUCUUGAUCGUUUGGUGGUUAAGUACUAACAAGAUCUACUUAAUCCGGCUAUUUGACUAGCGCAAGCCUAAGAAAUUACUUUGGAUGCAAAUCUGAUUUGUUCUAACUUUUAUAUUCAAAUACAUUUGAAUAGAAUACAUAUAAUGUAACAUAGUAGUUUUUUUGGCUGAAUAAAUUUUAUAUUCAUAUAAAUAAAGAGUGCUACAUAAAAUAUAACACUGGUUUAUUAAAAAUCUUCGCGAAAAGCUGGAUCUAGUUGUAGCUGAUUCAUUGAUCUAGACCCAUCCUUUGUCGCCUCAAAUAAAAUAUAUCGAUCAGUGAUCGUGGACGAUAUUGUGGCCUAGCUAGUGAUGUCAAUCUUGCCUCAUCUUUUGUUUAUGCGUUAGUUGUGCUUCUAUCCUUAGACUAGGUGUAAAGGACAACAUAAGGACACUCAUAAUGACCUCAAUAUCUCGUAUCUCUUCUUAUGGAACAUUCUGUAAAUACUUAACCUAGGAGCUCUCAUUCUCACUUUGUAUAUAUACUCAAUUGUACUCUCUUAUGAACAUAUCGGAAUAUACAUUCUCUACACUAGGGUGAUUGGUUAAACAGAUAUAUAAAUCCAGAUACUCAACAAACUAGCAAGUGUUGUGGUCACUGGCCGAACCGCCUCGAGAGUUUCAUGGAGAGGUACUUGUUUCAAACUGCCAUUUAUACUAUUUGGAAAGAGCAGAAUGGACGACGUCAUGGUGAGUCUCCUAAUACCGCAGCUCGGCUCAUAGACUCAAUUGGCAAACAAAUACGGAAUCGCUUUUCCUCCAUUAAGCUUAUGGGAGAUAGGCGAUAUGAUGGUGGAUUACAACUUUGGUUGCUUCAAGAGUUUUUUCUUAAUUCCUUCUGUUUUUCUAGUUUUCAAAAAUUUUUAAAUCUCCCGAUGCACUAGUUGUACAAACGCUAUUUUUUCUUGAAUAUAAUUUAACAUUAUUUUCAAAAAAAAAAAAAGAGAUACGUAGGUUAGUUUAAAUUUGAGAGUUCUAUAGUUAAUCUGGGACACUAGUUACAUGAUAAUAUUUUCAUUUUGAAUUACCCAAUACUAGUGAAGAAGUUUUUGUUGGUAAUAAUAGAAAAUGUCACAAUUUUUUUGCAUAGAUUUUAAGGAUUUGACUUGAAUAUUUAAUUAUCUUUGAUGAUCUACAUACAGUAGUAUGUUUUUCUGUAAUUAUUUCACGAUCUACCUCUUGGUUUUAAAAUUAUUUCUAAUAAAUUUUCGACGAAAUUGUACAUUAGUGACAGUGUUAUAUCAACUUUUACUAAAUAAUGCAAUAAUACAGUAAAAUCCCAAUUCCAUCAGAAUUUUUUACUUUUGAGACGGCUCGGUUAUAUAUAUGAACACGUAUAUGUGCAUAAUUAUGUGAUGUGACCUUGUGUUCCAAAGUCAGCGAAUUUUAUUACGACAAAUGUGAACCAUGCAUCAAAGAUAUUUUCAAAGUCUCAUCAUUGACAAAUAAAACAAAAUACGAACGCUAUAGACGACGUAAAACAAUGGACCGUAUAUAUACGUUAUUUAUUUGCAAAGUCGAGUCGUGAAAAUGUCGAAAACUUCAACAAAAGUGUAUACGUUGUUUAUUUAUUUUUGUCAAACAAUAGAUCAUAUAGUUAGUUAAUGUUUACGUUUUUUUUUUUGUUUUUUUUUUGAAAACCAGUUGAUGUAUACGUUUGUAUCAUAAUAACAUGACUUUUUUUUGUCAAACGACAUAUCAUAGUUGAUGUAUACAUUUAUAUGUAGUAUAAAAAAACAUUUUACCUAUUCUACAAAACUAGUCUUGGGUCACUCUAGUUGUUACAAGAAACAAAAAAAAGUUUACUUUUAUUUUGGGUUCAAAUUGUCAAAGUCAAUUUCAAAUCAAUUAAUAAAUUAGUGAGGUGCGUAUUACUUGAAGUUGUAUAUAUAUUUCGGUGUCAAUCAAUUAUAUUUCGCUUUCUAUAAUCACUAAAACAAAAUAAUACACAAAUGGCUAACAUUUGGACUCUAUCACUUCUCUUCCUAAUCAUCUCUCUUCUUCUCACCGCCUUGAAACGCACAAAUAAGGGGAAACACCGACACAUCCCAUCUCCUCCUGGUUUACCUAUAAUCGGAAACUUACAUCAGCUCGGAGAAUUACCACAUCAGUCUUUAUGGAAACUCUCAAAGAAGUAUGGUCCUGUCAUGCAUUUGAAGCUUGGAAAUGUCCCAGCAGUCAUACUUUCUUCCACCGAGACAGCAAAACAAGCUCUAAGAGACCAUGACAUCCAUUGUUGUAGCCGUCCUUCUUUAGCAGGUACUAUACAAAUCAGUUCACAUUUAUACUAAAGUCUUGAACUGUUGCUUCAUUCAUAUCUUACUCCUUUAGGGGGAAGACAACUCUCUUACAACCACCGGGACAUAUCUUUCUCUCCUUAUAAUGAUUACUGGAAAGAACUAAGGAAGCUUUGUACUCAAGAAAUCUUUAGUGCUAAAACUAUUCACAAAACUCAACCCAUCAAAGACUUGGAGGUCAAGAAACUAAUCGAUUCAAUCGCGGAAUCAGCUUCUCAUAAGACUCCGGUAAACCUGAACAAGAAGUUUCUUGCUUUAAAUGUAAGUAUAGUAUGCAAGUCAGCCUUUGGUGUGAACUUUGAGGGAACUGUGCUUAGCAAUGAUAGGUUCAAGGAGUUAAUGCGUGAAACAUUCGAGAUGUUGGGAAGUUUCUCUGCCUCAGAUUUUGUUCCCUAUAUCGGUUGGAUCAUCGACCGGUUAACUGGUUUGCAAGGAAGGAGAGCAAAAAACGCGCAAGAUCUUGAUGCGUUCUAUGAACAAAUUAUUGAUCUGCAUAAAGAGAAAAAGGAAGUAGGUAGUGAAGAUUUUGUGGACUCACUCUUGAGAUUGGAGAAAGAAGAAACUGUUGUUGGAAAUGACAAGUUCACUAGAAAUAAUGUUAAAGCAAUCUUGAUGGUAAAUAAUAACACAUUCAAAAUCCAGUGGUAAGAUAUUUUGUCACAAUACCUAACUUAGUACUUGUAACAGGACAUUCUUUUAGCGGGCAUUGAAACUUCUGCAAUAAGCAUGAUAUGGGCGAUGACAGAACUUGCGAGGAACCCACAAGUGAUGAGGAAAGUUCAAUCUGAAAUCCGAAACAAAUGUGGGAAGAGAGAACUAAUCAGAUACGAAGACAUAGAUCAACUCCAUUACUUGAAAAUGGUGAUUAAAGAAUCAUGGAGACUACAUCCUCCAGCACCUCUUCUGCUUCCAAGAGAAGUAAUAUCUGAAUUCGAGAUCGAUGGCUACAAGAUUCAACCAAAGACACAGAUUCAUGUCAAUGUAUGGGCUAUAGGGCGUGAUCCUGAUACCUGGAAAGACCCGGAUGAGUUCUUUCCCGAGAGGUUUAUGGAUAGUAACAUUGAUACAAAAGGACAGAGCUUUGAGCUAUUACCAUUUGGGAGCGGUCGGAGAAUUUGUCCAGCAGUUUACAUGGGGACAACAAUGGUGGAGUUUGGCUUGGCAAAUCUUUUGUAUCAUUUUGAC